CGAAGGGGGCAAGCGUUGUUCGGAAUUACUGGGCGUAAAGGGCGCGUAGGCGGCUCUUUUAGUCAGGUGUGAAAGCCCUGGGCUCAACCUGGGAAUGGCACUUGAUACUGGAGGGCUAGAGAGUGGGAGAGGAUGGUGGAAUUCCCAGUGUAGAGGUGAAAUUCGUAGAUAUUGGGAAGAACACCGGUGGCGAAGGCGGCCAUCUGGACCAUUUCUGACGCUGAGGCGCGAAAGCGUGGGGAGCAAACAGGAUUAGAUACCCUGGUAGUCCACGCUGUAAACGAUGAGUGCUGGACGUUGCGGAGCUUGCUCUGCGGUGUCGUAGCUAACGCGAUAAGCACUCCGCCUGGGGAGUACGGCCGCAAGGUUG
This 370-nucleotide ribosomal RNA is filed under the name uncultured organism. RNAcentral's name for it is "bacterial SSU rRNA". It matches the Rfam family "Bacterial small subunit ribosomal RNA", at positions 526 to 896 of the family's 1533-position model. The record is from RNAcentral.